GACGAACGCUGGCGGCGUGCCUAACACAUGCAAGUCGAGCGGGGUUGAGGCGAGAGGUAACUCGAACUUCUACCUAGCGGCGGACGGGUGAGUAACGCGUGGGCAACCUGCCUCAAGGUUUGGGAUAACAGCCCGAAAGGGCUGCUAAUACCGGAUAUGCCUAUGGCCUCGCAUGGGGCUAUGAGCAAAGGGGAAACCCGCCUUGAGAUGGGCCCGCGUCCCAUCAGCUAGUUGGUGAGGUAACAGCUCACCAAGGCGACGACGGGUAGCCGGCCUGAGAGGGUGACCGGCCACACUGGGACUGAGACACGGCCCAGACUCCUACGGGGGGCAGCAGUGGGGGAUCUUGCACAAUGGGCGAAAGCCUGAUGCAGCGACGCCGCGUGAGCGAAGAAGGCCUUGGGUUGUAAAGCUCUGUCUGGAGGGACGAACAAAUGACGGUACCUCCGGAGGAAGCCACGGCUAACUACGUGGCCAGCAGCCGCGGUAACGCAUACUCGUA
This 502-nucleotide ribosomal RNA is filed under the name uncultured bacterium. Its description in RNAcentral is "bacterial SSU rRNA". It matches the Rfam family "Bacterial small subunit ribosomal RNA", at positions 28 to 533 of the family's 1533-position model. The record is from RNAcentral.